RNAcentral lists this ribosomal RNA (253 nucleotides) under uncultured bacterium. Its description in RNAcentral is "partial 16S ribosomal RNA". It matches the Rfam family "Bacterial small subunit ribosomal RNA", at positions 524 to 776 of the family's 1533-position model. The record is from RNAcentral.
UACGAAGGGUGCAAGCGUUACUCGGAAUUACUGGGCGUAAAGCGUGCGUAGGUGGUUCGUUAAGUCUGAUGUGAAAGCCCUGGGCUCAACCUGGGAAUGGCAUUGGAAACUGGCGACCUAGAGUGCGGUAGAGGGUAGUGGAAUUCCCGGUGUAGCAGUGAAAUGCGUAGAUAUCUGGAGGAACACCGGUGGCGAAGGCGGCAUUCUGGACCAAUACUGACGCUGAGGAGCGAAAGCCAGGGGAGCAAACGGG